Long non-coding RNA from Capsicum annuum, 748 nucleotides. RefSeq lists it as uncharacterized. NCBI's taxonomy places the organism in Eukaryota, Viridiplantae, Streptophyta, Magnoliopsida, Solanales, Solanaceae. The transcript has 2 exons. The record is from RefSeq and is a predicted model, not a curated record.
GAACCUGCUGUGAGAUACAAGAGAGGAAAGCUGGGAGUUAGUUUUGUUAAGUAAACGAAGUAGAUCCACCGAAACAGUUUCCACCUCAAGCGGGUAAAUAUGGUGAGAGUAUGCUAAUUGGAGCCCCAAAAGUAGAGCUUUAAAUUCCAUUUCGAGACAAGUGGAAGCUGAGGAGCUGCCAGCAAAACCCAAGUAGCAUAUACCUUCAUGAUCUCCAUAAACCUCCAUUGGAAGAAAGAGAUUGGAAAGCUCCAUCAAUGUUCAACUUAAACCAAUUAACCGUUCUCGGGAGGAUACCAUUUUACUGGAAUGUCCACAUAUUUCUUCACCGAUGUAUGGGCAUCGGAGAAGAAGUAGAACUCAUGGAUGGAAUGCAUAAGGCGCUGUGGUGAGAGAGUUGUUGGCGAGAAGAGUUGAAGCAAGCAUCGUUACGGUUUUUCCAAAUGAACCAAAUGGCAAAAGGAUAAAACAGAGACAGGUGAUAUAAGUGUCAGGGAUGGGGUAGUUGUUCGAGUCUUUUAUGAAGAUAAGCCAUUCAUUGGAAGGGUAGGGUGGCCAAUGGUCGAUGGAAUCUGCCAGUAAGCCCACACAUCCGACUGCUUCUAAAAUUUUGCUUUCAUAAAUUAGAAAUUUCUAGUUUGUUGAAAUUGUUCUGCAAAUACCAUUAUUGAAUUAUGGUUAAUAUAGUAAAUUUAGCUUAAAAGUUUUUAAUAUUAUUCAAUAGUACUAAUGCGUUAAAAUUGUCCAA